AGUGGGUGAAGUUAAGAAGAGUCAGGAGAGUGAUACAAACAAGAAAACAAACAUACACAAAAAUAAUAAUAGUGCUAGUGGGUGAGAGAAAAGAGAGAGAGCUCAUGGGAGAGUGAAGAGAAGCAAAGGAAGGAAAAGCUUAACCUCAAUUUAGGGAGUUCACUACAAUCCAAAUUUUCAGGUAGCAUACGAAUCAUAGAUGGUGUGUUCGGAUCGCUGUUGCUUUGCUAUUUAUUUGGAGUCGCUCUGUUAGGAUGUUGUUGGGAGAAACUUUUAUUUAAUUAUGUUGUUAAAUUUUUAUAACAAUUGAACUAUGUCACUUGAUUCAGUAUUUUCAAUUCGGACUUUGAAACUUA
Molecule: long non-coding RNA, 356 nt
Organism: Trifolium pratense (red clover)
Lineage: Eukaryota; Viridiplantae; Streptophyta; Magnoliopsida; Fabales; Fabaceae
Exons: 2
Source: RefSeq, a predicted model, not a curated record